CAGUAGCCGCGGUAAUACGUAGGGAGCAAGCGUUGUUCGGAUUUACUGGCGUAAAGGGCGCGUAGGCGGCGCGGUAAGUCACUUGUGAAAUCUCUGAGCUUAACUCAGAACGGCCAAGUGAUACUGCUGUGCUAGAGUGCGGAAGAGGCAACCGGAAUUCUUGGUGUAGCGGUGAAAUGCGUAGAUAUCAAGAGGAACACCUGAGGCGAAGGCGGGUUGCUGGGCCGACACUGACGCUGAUGCGCGAAAGCCAGGGGAGCAAACGGGAUUAGAUACCCCUGUAGUCCCUGUCUCUUAUACA
RNAcentral lists this ribosomal RNA (301 nucleotides) under uncultured bacterium. RNAcentral describes it as "partial 16S ribosomal RNA". It matches the Rfam family "Bacterial small subunit ribosomal RNA", at positions 509 to 809 of the family's 1533-position model. The record is from RNAcentral.